This 76-nucleotide transfer RNA is filed under the name Gammaproteobacteria bacterium. RNAcentral's name for it is "tRNA-Lys". It matches the Rfam family "tRNA". Rfam says of the family: Transfer RNA (tRNA) molecules are approximately 80 nucleotides in length. Their secondary structure includes four short double-helical elements and three loops (D, anti-codon, and T loops). RNAcentral also lists the same sequence under 1 other name. The record is from RNAcentral. Lineage: Bacteria; Pseudomonadati; Pseudomonadota; Gammaproteobacteria.
GGGCCGUUAGCUCAGUCGGUAGAGCAUCUGACUUUUAAUCAGGUGGUCGCGCGUUCGAAUCGCGCACGGCCCACCA